AAUGACCUUGUCCUGCAGGGGAAGACAGACCUACCAACUGCAGUGAUCUGUAGCUCAAGCACCUGCUUGUGAAGAUCAACCAUCACAGUAUCAGUCCAAGAUUUUCUGGCUGGACAUUCAAAAUAAGUUUGGAUGAUUCUGGGCUUCUUGCUGUUGACCCAGGAGAAUUAAUCUAGAGUUCUGGAGGCAAGAUGGAAAGGAUGACUUCAUGAAAAAUUUGUUGCAAAAUUUGCUAUCCUUCCUAUCUUGGCCUUAAGUGAAGAUGUAGGUUGACCAAUUUGAUUUGGCUCGUUGCAGCUUCGGAGGAAGACUGGACAACAUGAAAAAGACAGCAGGUCUGCUUGCUGUAAAAGGAAAAAAAAGGAGUGGCAUUACUGUUUUGAUUACUUUUUUGUCRGUAUGACCUUUCAUUUGCUAAUAGGAAUAUAUGUAUCUGAAAUAUAGAUCAAUCUUCUCAUGUAGAGACUCUCUGUUUACCCUGCACGAUGAUAUGGUGAUGCUCAAUUUUCUUACUUUGCUUGUUCCAAAAGGGAACAGUUUUCCACUUUGGACAGCCAAUGGGAUCUAUGUAUUUCAAUUCAUUACAUUUCAUGAAAUGUCCAUCUUGCAAAAGCUAUGGAGUGGUUCGUAGUGCAAUAUUGCUUCUCUAUUAAAAACAAAAUGGRCCUUUAUCUUACUGUUCUUCUCUUGGAACAAUCUUUAGUGACCAAAAGUAAGUGAGAAUAUUUCAGAAUCUGAGUUUUGUUUGUCUUUAAUAUCUGUCUCCAUUUUUAAACUCUAUUUCAUACAGUCUGCUUGUUAUAAAAUCUUAGAUAAGUGUCUGGAGCAUAAGCUGAAUUGCUUAAACCACAGUGGUCCCUAGCUUUGCUAGAUAUGUCUUGAGAUCUGUGUUCAUGUUCCAGAGAUCUAAACUCAAGGUCACUCAUUUUGGRGAACACUGUUAGAUUCUAAAUGAAAAAUACUUUCUCUACAAAAGUAAGAAGAAUGUUGUGAUUUAUUUAUUUUUAGCAAGUAAAUUUUUGAUCUGCUGUUUAGGUUCAUGCCUCCUAAUGUGAYCUUUGAAUAGUAAAAUUUACAUUUUAAUUGUGCAAGAUAAAGUUUAGUGUUGGUUAACACUUAACAUUGCUUGCCAACAAAUAUUAGAAAAAGUACUUCUCUUUUUUCCUUUUUU
Molecule: long non-coding RNA, 1171 nt
Organism: Nothoprocta perdicaria
Lineage: Eukaryota; Metazoa; Chordata; Aves; Tinamiformes; Tinamidae
Exons: 4
Source: RefSeq, a predicted model, not a curated record